RNAcentral lists this ribosomal RNA (400 nucleotides) under uncultured bacterium. Its description in RNAcentral is "bacterial SSU rRNA". It matches the Rfam family "Bacterial small subunit ribosomal RNA", at positions 355 to 753 of the family's 1533-position model. The record is from RNAcentral.
UAGGGAAUAUUGGGCAAUGGUCGGAAGACUGACCCAGCCAUGCCGCGUGCAGGAAGAAGGCGUUCUGCGUUGUAAACUGCUUUUAUCUGGGAAGAAAAGGCCCGUGCGCGGGACAUUGCCGGUACCAGAUGAAUAAGCACCGGCUAACUCCGUGCCAGCAGCCGCGGUAAUACGGAGGGUGCAAGCGUUGUCCGGAUUUAUUGGGUUUAAAGGGUGCGUAGGCGGCUAUUUAAGUCAGCGGUGAAAGACUUCGGCUCAACCGGAGCAGUGCCAUUGAUACUGGAUAGCUUGAGUGUUGGAGGGGUACAUGGAAUUGAUGGUGUAGCGGUGAAAUGCAUAGAUACCAUCAGGAACACCGAUAGCGAAGGCAUUGUACUGGCCAACAACUGACGCUGAGGCA